GCCUGGGUAGCUCAGCGGUUGAGCGUCUGCCUUCCACUCAGGGCGUGAUCCCUGGGUCCUGGGAUCAAGUCCCACAUCAGGCU
Molecule: transfer RNA, 83 nt
Filed under: Canis lupus familiaris (dog)
Lineage: Eukaryota; Metazoa; Chordata; Mammalia; Carnivora; Canidae
Also listed under: 1 other name
Rfam family: tRNA
About the family: Transfer RNA (tRNA) molecules are approximately 80 nucleotides in length. Their secondary structure includes four short double-helical elements and three loops (D, anti-codon, and T loops). Further hydrogen bonds mediate the characteristic L-shaped molecular structure. tRNAs have two regions of fundamental functional importance: the anti-codon, which is responsible for specific mRNA codon recognition, and the 3' end, to which the tRNAs corresponding amino acid is attached (by aminoacyl-tRNA synthetases). tRNAs cope with the degeneracy of the genetic code in two manners: having more than one tRNA (with a specific anti-codon) for a particular amino acid; and 'wobble' base-pairing, i.e. permitting non-standard base-pairing at the 3rd anti-codon position.
Source: Rfam by way of RNAcentral